AGAUUGGGAAAGUAUGAGAGAGAAUGGACCAAAGAGAUUAUAUGAAGUCGGGCGGAGGGUCCGGACCUUCCAGUAAGGGUCCGGAUCGUGAAGCCCAGGUCCGGACCCUCUCUGCGUAUCAUGCAGAGAGAAUCUACGGGGUCCGGAUCCUGAAGCACAGGUCCGGACCCUCUCUGCGUAUCAUGCAGAGAGGACCUAUGGGGUCCGGAUUCUGAAGCACAGGUCCGGACCCCCUCUGCGUAUCAUGCAGAGAGGACCUACGGGGUCCGGAUCCUGAAGCACAGGUCCAGACCCUCUCUGCGUAUCUUGCAGAGAGGAUCUACGGGGU
RNAcentral lists this long non-coding RNA (328 nucleotides) under Ananas comosus (pineapple). Its description in RNAcentral is "long non-coding RNA (ACOM_LNC037892)". Lineage: Eukaryota; Viridiplantae; Streptophyta; Magnoliopsida; Poales; Bromeliaceae. The record is from RNAcentral.